GGCAUGCGCGGGGGGCCUGCGCGGUGGGGCGGGCGGCACGCGCUGUGACACCCCCUCACAGCGCCCCUCACAGCGCCCCUCACAGCCCGGCCCCGGCCCUCGCCCUCGAGCCGCGCAGGGAUGGCCUCACGGGAACAGGCGUGGAGGGCGCGGAGUCUCCCUCUCUGGAGUCAUUCCAAAGCCACCCGGACGCCUCCCUGGGUCACCUGCUCCGGGUGGCCCUGCCGUGGCAGGGGGUUGGACUGGAUGAUCUCCAGGCGUCCCUUCCAGCCCCUCUAUUCUCUGGUUCCGCGGUUCUGUGUCCAGCCCUUGUCCCCCCUGCCCGGUCUCCUUCCCUCACAGCCCGGGGCUGCCUCAGGUGCUCGUCCCUCACGGCCUCGGCUGCUGCCGGGCGCUGCCCCGGCCCAGCCUUGUGGUGGGUUGUGCUCCUGCUGUCCCUGAGGGGAGCCCGCACCCCUCUGCCCCGGGAUGGCGGCUGUGGCCAGGGUGACCCUCCGACAUGACUGGCGCAGAUGUUGAGGCUGCGGGCAGAACAACUUGUGGCCGCCCACCUGCAGCUCACCUGUCCUUGGAUCUGCCCUUCCCACGCUGGGAACCUGCUGAGGGAAUAGGCAUGGAAGGAGAAGGGCGUGUGGAGCUGUUUGGUCUGACUUUGGGGAGAAGGCAUUAGGAGCAGAACCCUGGGGGAAUCGGGACAUUUGCUAGGAAGAGAGAAGGAGAGAGGAAGAGCAUGGAACAAGAUGGAGAAGAAACCCCUGUGAAAUCUCAAUGUUCAGAAUGGAGAAGAGGGGCUCUGGAAGCACAGCACUGGUUUUCUUCCAUCUACCGGGUGAUCGUGCUGUUCUAUAGUUUGAAAUAUAUUGGGGGAGAUUGGAAGGGCAGGUAGAAAAAGAAAAAUCAUUUAAUACUCCUCCACAAAGAACCUUCUGUACGAGAACCAAGUCUGUCUCCAGUAGCUGCUAAUCAUUCCUCCACUGAGAUGCCCAGUAAGGGGAACACACGCAGGCUGAGUGUAUUUUUCCAGUAUUCUCCCUCUGGGCUGCUCUGACUCUCAGGGGAUGAGGCUCUGCUUGACUGUAUAAUACCUUGUUUACUCUGUACCCUUAGGCCACCAAUGGAGUAAUUUUUUUAGUAUGUUUUCUAUGAAUAUUGAGUAUGUGAAAUAGUGGGAAUCUGAUACGCCCUCUGUAUGCAGAAGGCAAGUGACACCUUUGCCACCUCUGCAUCUCACAUCUCCCGGACAGCACACAGUGACUUUUAGGCUGGUGUGAGCCAGAGGAGGAGGAAGCACAAAGCUGUCAGUAACCCGAGAGUGUGAGAGCGUGUACCUCACAGAAGGCCACGCUGCCCAUUGCAGAGGCACAUGGCUAGUUUUUAAAUAUUCUCAGAUAUCAACCUAGAGACCAUCUCCUAAUCUGACCUUAGAUCUCACUGUUCAGAUUUUUUUUUGCUGUUUAACAAAUGCAUUUCUCUAUCUUACUUUGGGUUCUUUUGUCUCAUAGCUGCCUGCCAGUUCUAUACAAUUUGACUAUACGGAAGCUGCAGUUGUAUUGCUGAAGUGUUACAAUUUCUGUGUACAGCAAGCUCAAAUAUUACAAGAUCUCAGUCUUCUGAAAAAUAUUAAGCUGUGCUGUGUCAAACAACUGUUACUUGUUGGAUUUUUUUGAAAAUAACUGUGUAAUUUUCAGGGCAAAGAAAUUGAUUAUAGUUUCCUGCAUAUCCAUCACCAUUAAAGUGACUUAAGAGAUCUGUAGUCAGAUACAUUUCUGUAGACAUUCAUUGCAUGGCUGAAAGUCUGCUCAGUCUGUUUUCUUCUUGAAUGCACGUAUGUGGAUAACAGACAUGAUACGUGAUUCAUUUUGCAUUCUUUGCAGAAACAAAUCCCCAGACUUGCAUGUCUACGGAAAAAAAUAAGAUUAAAACCCAUCCAACUCA
Molecule: long non-coding RNA, 1935 nt
Organism: Vidua chalybeata
Lineage: Eukaryota; Metazoa; Chordata; Aves; Passeriformes; Viduidae
Exons: 2
Source: RefSeq, a predicted model, not a curated record